This 253-nucleotide ribosomal RNA is filed under the name uncultured bacterium. RNAcentral's name for it is "partial 16S ribosomal RNA". It matches the Rfam family "Bacterial small subunit ribosomal RNA", at positions 524 to 776 of the family's 1533-position model. The record is from RNAcentral.
UACGGAGGGUGCGAGCGUUAAUCGGAAUUACUGGGCGUAAAGGGCGCGUAGGCGGUGGGUUACGUCUGCCGUGAAAUCCCCGGGCUCAACCUGGGAAUGGCGGUGGAAACGGGCUGACUGGAGUAUGGGAGAGGGUGAUGGAAAUCCAGGUGUAGCGGUGAAAUGCGGAGAGAUCUGGAGGAACCCCAGGGGCGAAGGCGGUCACCUGGCCCAAAACUGACGCUGAGGCGCGAAAGCGUGGGGAGCAAACAGG